RNAcentral lists this ribosomal RNA (253 nucleotides) under uncultured bacterium. Its description in RNAcentral is "partial 16S ribosomal RNA". It matches the Rfam family "Bacterial small subunit ribosomal RNA", at positions 524 to 776 of the family's 1533-position model. The record is from RNAcentral.
UACAGAGGUGGCAAGCGUUGUUCGGAAUUAUUGGGCGUAAAGCGCGUGUAGGCGGCCUUGCAAGUCGGGUGUGAAAGCCCUCAGCUCAACUGAGGAAGUGCGCCCGAAACUGCAUGGCUUGAGUACCGGAGAGGAUGGUGGAAUUCCCGAAGUAGAGGUGAAAUUCGUAGAUAUCGGGAGGAACACCGGUGGCGAAGGCGGCCCUCUGGACGGUGACUGACGCUGAGACGCGAAAGCGUGGGGAGCAAACAGG